GAUGAACGCUGGCGGCGUGCCUAAUACAUGCAAGUCGAGCGAACGGAUGAGAAGCUUGCUCUUCUGAUGUUAGCGGCGGACGGGUGAGUAACACGUGGAUAACCUACCUAUAAGACUGGGAUAACUUCGGGAAACCGGAGCCAAUACCGGAUAAUAUUUUGAACCGCAUGGUUCAAAAGUGAAAGACGGUUUUGCUGUCACUUAUAGAUGGAUCCGCGCUGCAUUAGCUAGUUGGUAAGGUAACGGCUUACCAAGGCAACGAUGCAUAGCCGACCUGAGAGGGUGAACGGCCACACUGGAACUGAGACACGGUCCAGACCCCUACGGGAGGCAGCAGUAGGGAAUCUUCCGCAAUGGGCGAAAGCCUGACGGAGCAACGCCGCGUGAGUGAUGAAGGUCUUCGGAUCGUAAAACUCUGUUAUUAGGGAAGAACAUAUGUGUAAGUAACUGUGCACAUCUUGACGGUACCUAAUCAGAAAGCCACGGCUAACUACGUG
This 497-nucleotide ribosomal RNA is filed under the name uncultured bacterium. Its description in RNAcentral is "partial 16S ribosomal RNA". It matches the Rfam family "Bacterial small subunit ribosomal RNA", at positions 28 to 507 of the family's 1533-position model. The record is from RNAcentral.